Molecule: ribosomal RNA, 638 nt
Filed under: uncultured fungus
Lineage: Eukaryota; Fungi
Description: eukaryotic LSU rRNA
Rfam family: 5.8S ribosomal RNA (bases 292-445)
Source: RNAcentral
AAGUCGUAACAAGGUUUCCGUAGGCAUCCCCGAACCGAAAACUUUCACUAUGAGUGCUAACAAUCCUCUAGGUAGGUGAACCUGCGGAAGGAUCAUUACAGAGAAAGGGGCCUCGUGCCCCCGGGGUUUCGGCCCCGCCUCUACACCCGUGAUUACCUAUCCACUGUUGCUUUGGCGGGCCAUGGUCUCCCAGGCCACGCCGGCGGGGUCCUGCCCCGCGGGUGAGUGCUCGCCAGAGGCCCAUUUUACAUUCUGUUUUCGUGUCGUCAGAGGGAAUACAAAAUCAAGCAAAACUUUCAACAACGGAUCUCUUGGUUCUGGCAUCGAUGAAGAACGCAGCGAAAUGCGAUAAGUAAUGUGAAUUGCAGAAUUCAGUGAAUCAUCGAAUCUUUGAACGCACAUUGCGCCCCUCGGUAUUCCGGGGGGCAUGCCUGUUCGAGCGUCAUUGCACCCCUCAAGCGUAGCUUGGUGUUGGGCGGUCGUCCCGCGAGGGAUCCCCCCGAAAACGAUAGGCGGUCCGGGUUGACUUUGGGCGUAGUAAAUUAUCUCCCGCUCUGAAAGUUCGACCCGCGGCCGGCCGCAACCCCCAAAUUCCAACAAUUGACCUCGGAUCAGGUAGGGAUACCCGCUGAACUUAA